UGAGUAAAGGAAAUUACAUUAUAUUACAUAAAUAAAUGAAGCUUUAAUUUUGUUCUCCAUAUUUCUCAACAGCUUUGCAGAUGGUAUUAAGAAACAGGGCAUCUGUGUCUCCCUGUGGAAAAACCCAGGCUCUUCUGGAACUGUGGGCUCCUUGUGUUGCUGUCAUGUAAUCAAGAAGCUAGAGCAUCUGCCCAUUAUCACAUUUCUAAUGUUGAAGUGGAGAUAUGAGGAUUUUGAAAGUUCCCAAUUGGAUGCCUCUAAAGGAAGUGAGGGCUCUUUCAAGUAAGAAAAACUCAUUUUAUAUUACCUUUUAAGCUAGCUGUUAUUAAUUUUCAAUUUUAUGCUAGAAAUUUGCAACUCACAAAAAGAAAGGAAAAAAGUUAAACCCUGAUUUUAAAUAUCAUUGUUCCCCAUUUUUCAUGUCUCAGUUACCACAUUUAAAAAGAAGAUGGCACCAUUUGUCCAAGGAAUCUCAUUACUGGGUAUAUGCCCAAAGGAAUAUAAAUCAUUCUAUUAUAAAGAUACAA
This 527-nucleotide long non-coding RNA is filed under the name Homo sapiens (human). Its description in RNAcentral is "novel transcript". The record is from RNAcentral. Lineage: Eukaryota; Metazoa; Chordata; Mammalia; Primates; Hominidae.